AUUCCUACGGGAGGCAGCAGUAGGGAAUCUUCCACAAUGGACGCAAGUCUGAUGGAGCAACGCCGCGUGAGUGAAGAAGGGUUUCGGCUCGUAAAACGCUGUUGUUGGAGAAGAACCGGGGGUAGAGCAACUGUUAUCCCCUUGACGGUAUCCAACCAGAAAGCCACGGCUAACUACGUGCCAGCAGCCGCGGUAAUAAU
RNAcentral lists this ribosomal RNA (200 nucleotides) under uncultured Lactobacillus sp. RNAcentral describes it as "partial 16S ribosomal RNA". It matches the Rfam family "Bacterial small subunit ribosomal RNA", at positions 335 to 526 of the family's 1533-position model. Lineage: Bacteria; Bacillati; Bacillota; Bacilli; Lactobacillales; Lactobacillaceae. The record is from RNAcentral.